UUCUCUCUCUAACACAGUCACACACGCAGUUUCUCUCUCUCUUCUAUAUACUCCAUUAGUAUCACUGAACUGGUACAGAUUUCGCGGGUAUUUACAGGCCCCUGCUUUUUUCUUUCUUCUCCGGCAUCGAAGAAAAUACAUUACGUGAAUUACGAGGAGAUCCUUUUGCUGCAAAUUCCUUUCUUUGCUUUCGGUGUACGUUCAGUAACGUAUAGGAUCUUCAUUGAAAUCAAUUAUAAAUGAGACAUUUCUUGAUAUCUUAUGAGGUAUAUAUAUAUGCUCUUUUCUGUUUUUAGUUUAUCAAACGUUCAUUGAGUUGAUUCUGGACUCUUGUAGCUAUAAAUAUAAAUGAUGAAUUUCUUUGGUUGUUUAGCUCUAAAAAGCUUGGAUCUGUAAUCUGUGAGACUUUAGGUUCAGCUGUGAAAUAUGUGUUUGUGUG
Molecule: long non-coding RNA, 439 nt
Filed under: Panax ginseng (ginseng)
Lineage: Eukaryota; Viridiplantae; Streptophyta; Magnoliopsida; Apiales; Araliaceae
Description: long non-coding RNA (PGIN_LNC010447)
Source: RNAcentral